GCAUCGCGCCUCAGACUGAAAAGCUUCAGGUCUCAGGAAAAAGGACGUCAGGUGUCAGGUCUCAUACAAUUAGGCAUCAGACGAAACGGACUCAGACAAAAAGGCAUCAGACGAAACGGACUCAGACAAAAAGGCAUCAGACGAAACGGACUCAGGAAAAAAGGCAUCAGACGAAACGGACUCAGGAAAAAAGGCAUCAGACGAAACGGACUCAGACAAAAAGGCAUCAGACGAAACGGACUCAGACAAAAAGGCAUCAGACGAAACGGACUCAGGAAAAAAGGCAUCAGACGAAACGGACUCAGGAAAAAAGGCAUCAGACGAAACGGACUCAGGAAAAAAGGCAUCAAAAGAAACGGACUCAGACAAAAAGGCAUCAGAUGAAACGGACUCAGACAAAAAGGCAUCAGACGAAACGGACUCAGGUGGAGUAUCGCGUUGCCCCGCCCCAGGUGACGUCACACGCACGCGGUUCAGAGGAAGUGGUAUAUAACGGUUGAUUGAUGGCAAAAGGAGGUAAGCAGCGUCUGAUAUAUUAUAUUUUAACAGUUUUAUUCAAAUGUUACACUAAUUAAGUUACCCAUAGUUCAGUUUGCCAGAUUGAAGAGGCCACAAGACUACAGUCAAAAUGCACUGCUUGGGGACAAAUUCGGCAAUCAAGGGUUACUGCGAGCAGGUUCCGGGAGGUUUGUCAUAUGGUUGGGGAUUCAGCUAGUCAGUCGUUGGCCGCAAGAAUCAUUAAGGGCACAAGGCAGACAAGUGCUAUGAAAUGUGGCCUUGAAUUUGAGCCAGAU
Long non-coding RNA from Cyprinus carpio carpio, 794 nucleotides. The record is from Ensembl. NCBI's taxonomy places the organism in Eukaryota, Metazoa, Chordata, Actinopteri, Cypriniformes, Cyprinidae.